AGUGAACGCUGGCGGUAGGCCUAACACAUGCAAGUCGAACGGCAGCACAGUAAGAGCUUGCUCUUACGGGUGGCGAGUGGCGGACGGGUGAGGAAUACAUCGGAACCUACUUUUUCGUGGGGGAUAACGUAGGGAAACUUACGCUAAUACCGCAUACGACCUACGGGUGAAAGCAGGGGAUCUUCGGACCUUGCGCGAUUGAAUGAGCCGAUGUCGGAUUAGCUAGUUGGCGGGGUAAAGGCCCACCAAGGCGACGAUCCGUAGCUGGUCUGAGAGGAUGAUCAGCCGCACUGGAACUGAGACACGGUCCAGGGGCCUACGGGAGGCAGCAGUGGGGUAUAUUGGACAAUGGGCGGAAGUCUGGUCCAGCCAUACCGCGUGGGUGGAGAAGGCCUUCGGGUUGUAAAGCCCUUUUGUUGGGAAAGAAAAGCAGCAGGUUAAUACCCCGCUGUUCUGACGGUACCCAAAGAAUAAGCACCGGCUAACUUCGUG
This 492-nucleotide ribosomal RNA is filed under the name uncultured bacterium. RNAcentral describes it as "partial 16S ribosomal RNA". It matches the Rfam family "Bacterial small subunit ribosomal RNA", at positions 29 to 507 of the family's 1533-position model. The record is from RNAcentral.